This 484-nucleotide ribosomal RNA is filed under the name uncultured bacterium. RNAcentral describes it as "partial 16S ribosomal RNA". It matches the Rfam family "Bacterial small subunit ribosomal RNA", at positions 30 to 507 of the family's 1533-position model. The record is from RNAcentral.
AUUGAACGCUGGCGGCAGGCCUAACACAUGCAAGUCGAGCGGAUGAAGGGAGCUUGCUCCUGGAUUCAGCGGCGGACGGGUGAGUAAUGCCUAGGAAUCUGCCUGGUAGUGGGGGAUAACGUCCGGAAACGGGCGCUAAUACCGCAUACGUCCUGAGGGAGAAAGUGGGGGAUCUUCGGACCUCACGCUAUCAGAUGAGCCUAGGUCGGAUUAGCUAGUUGGUGGGGUAACGGCCUACCAAGGCGACGAUCCGUAACUGGCCUGAGAGGAUGAUCAGUCACACUGGAACUGAGACACGGUCCAGACUCCUACGGGAGGCAGCAGUGGGGAAUAUUGGACAAUGGGCGAAAGCCUGAUCCAGCCAUGCCGCGUGUGUGAAGAAGGUCUUCGGAUUGUAAAGCACUUUAAGUUGGGAGGAAGGGCAGUAAGUUAAUACCUUGCUGUUUUGACGGUACCAACGGAAUAAGCACCGGCCAACUUCGUG